RNAcentral lists this ribosomal RNA (1518 nucleotides) under Lactiplantibacillus pentosus. RNAcentral's name for it is "bacterial SSU rRNA". It matches the Rfam family "Bacterial small subunit ribosomal RNA". The record is from RNAcentral. Lineage: Bacteria; Bacillati; Bacillota; Bacilli; Lactobacillales; Lactobacillaceae.
GAACCGGCUCAGGACGAACGCUGGCGGCGUGCCUAAUACAUGCAAGUCGAACGAACUCUGGUAUUGAUUGGUGCUUGCAUCAUGAUUUACAUUUGAGUGAGUGGCGAACUGGUGAGUAACACGUGGGAAACCUGCCCAGAAGCGGGGGAUAACACCUGGAAACAGAUGCUAAUACCGCAUAACAACUUGGACCGCAUGGUCCGAGUUUGAAAGAUGGCUUCGGCUAUCACUUUUGGAUGGUCCCGCGGCGUAUUAGCUAGAUGGUGGGGUAACGGCUCACCAUGGCAAUGAUACGUAGCCGACCUGAGAGGGUAAUCGGCCACAUUGGGACUGAGACACGGCCCAAACUCCUACGGGAGGCAGCAGUAGGGAAUCUUCCACAAUGGACGAAAGUCUGAUGGAGCAACGCCGCGUGAGUGAAGAAGGGUUUCGGCUCGUAAAACUCUGUUGUUAAAGAAGAACAUAUCUGAGAGUAACUGUUCAGGUAUUGACGGUAUUUAACCAGAAAGCCACGGCUAACUACGUGCCAGCAGCCGCGGUAAUACGUAGGUGGCAAGCGUUGUCCGGAUUUAUUGGGCGUAAAGCGAGCGCAGGCGGUUUUUUAAGUCUGAUGUGAAAGCCUUCGGCUCAACCGAAGAAGUGCAUCGGAAACUGGGAAACUUGAGUGCAGAAGAGGACAGUGGAACUCCAUGUGUAGCGGUGAAAUGCGUAGAUAUAUGGAAGAACACCAGUGGCGAAGGCGGCUGUCUGGUCUGUAACUGACGCUGAGGCUCGAAAGUAUGGGUAGCAAACAGGAUUAGAUACCCUGGUAGUCCAUACCGUAAACGAUGAAUGCUAAGUGUUGGAGGGUUUCCGCCCUUCAGUGCUGCAGCUAACGCAUUAAGCAUUCCGCCUGGGGAGUACGGCCGCAAGGCUGAAACUCAAAGGAAUUGACGGGGGCCCGCACAAGCGGUGGAGCAUGUGGUUUAAUUCGAAGCUACGCGAAGAACCUUACCAGGUCUUGACAUACUAUGCAAAUCUAAGAGAUUAGACGUUCCCUUCGGGGACAUGGAUACAGGUGGUGCAUGGUUGUCGUCAGCUCGUGUCGUGAGAUGUUGGGUUAAGUCCCGCAACGAGCGCAACCCUUAUUAUCAGUUGCCAGCAUUAAGUUGGGCACUCUGGUGAGACUGCCGGUGACAAACCGGAGGAAGGUGGGGAUGACGUCAAAUCAUCAUGCCCCUUAUGACCUGGGCUACACACGUGCUACAAUGGAUGGUACAACGAGUUGCGAACUCGCGAGAGUAAGCUAAUCUCUUAAAGCCAUUCUCAGUUCGGAUUGUAGGCUGCAACUCGCCUACAUGAAGUCGGAAUCGCUAGUAAUCGCGGAUCAGCAUGCCGCGGUGAAUACGUUCCCGGGCCUUGUACACACCGCCCGUCACACCAUGAGAGUUUGUAACACCCAAAGUCGGUGGGGGUAACCUUUUAGGAACCACCGCCUAAGUGGGACAGAGAUUAGGGUGAAUCUAANGGGGUUGCCCC